UUAAUGAGUUUUGAAAUGAGUUGUAGCUGGCCUUUUGGGGCAUGUGCACACCCUUUUCAUCCCGCUCCACACCUGUGCACUUCCCUGUAGGUUGGCGUGGGCUUUGGGGCCUUUUUGGGUUCCGAGGCAUUCUGCUGGCCUAUGUACACCACAAACUCGAAUGUACCAGAAUGUAAACGCGUUUAACGCAUUUUAAUACAACUUUCAGCAACGGAUCUCUUGGCUCUCGCAUCGAUGAAGAACGCAGCGAAAUGCGAUAAGUAAUGUGAAUUGCAGAAUUCAGUGAAUCAUCGAAUCUUUGAACGCACCUUGCGCUCCUUGGUAUUCCGAGGAGCAUGCCUGUUUGAGUGUCAUGGAAUUCUCAACCCAUAAAUCCUUGUGGUAUAUGUGGGCUUGGAUUUGGAGGCUUGCCGGCUCUGGUCAGUCGGCUCCUCUUGAACGCAUUAGCUUGAUUUUGUGCGGAUCGGCUUUCAGUGUGAUAAUCGUUUACGCUGUGGCCGUGAAGUGUUUGGUGAGCUUCCAAUCGUCCCCUUGGGACAAUCGUUUGACAUCUGACCUCAAAUCAGGUAGGACUACCCGCUGAACUUAA
This 589-nucleotide ribosomal RNA is filed under the name Daedalea incana. RNAcentral describes it as "eukaryotic LSU rRNA". The stretch from base 200 to 353 matches the Rfam family "5.8S ribosomal RNA". The record is from RNAcentral. Lineage: Eukaryota; Fungi; Basidiomycota; Agaricomycetes; Polyporales; Fomitopsidaceae.